RNAcentral lists this ribosomal RNA (778 nucleotides) under uncultured bacterium. Its description in RNAcentral is "bacterial SSU rRNA". It matches the Rfam family "Bacterial small subunit ribosomal RNA", at positions 11 to 775 of the family's 1533-position model. The record is from RNAcentral.
GUUUGAGCAUGGAUCUCAUUGAACGCAUGGAUGGCAUGUCUUUACUCGUGCCAGUCUAACGGCAUCGCGGGAGCUUGCUCCUGGUGGCGAUGUGGCGAACGGUGUGAGUAACGCGUCGGAACGUGCCGAGUAAUGGGGGAUAACGCACCGAAAGUUGUGCUAAUACCGCAUAAUCUCUGAGGAGGAAAGCGGGGGACCUUUAGGGGCCUCGCGUUAUUCGAGCGGCUGACGUCUGAUUAGCUAGUUGGUGGGGUAAAGGCUCACCAAGGCAACGAUCAGUAGCGGGUCUGAGAGGAUGAUCCGUCACACUGGGACUGAGACACGGCCCAGACUCCUACGGGAGGCAGCAGUGGGGAAUUUUGGACAAUGGGGGCAACCCUGAUCCAGCCAUGCCGCGUGUCUGAAGAAGGCCUUCGGGUUGUAAAGGACUUUUGCCGGGGAGCAAAACUUACGGCUGAAUAAGCCGUGGGGACGAGAGUACCUGGAGAAUAAGCACCGGCUAACUACGUGCCAGCAGCCGCGGUAAUACGUAGGGUGCGAGCGUUAAUCGGAAUUACUGGGCGUAAAGCGUGCGCAGGCGGUUAUGCAAGUCUGAUGUGAAAGCCCCGGGCUUAACCUGGGAACGGCAUUGGAGACUGCAAGACUAGAGUGCGUCAGAAGGGGGUAGAAUCCCACGUGUAGCAGUGAAAUGCGUAGAGAUGUGGAGGAAUACCGAUGGCGAAGGCAGCCCCCUGGGAUGACACUGACGCUCAUGCACGAAAGCGUGGGGAGCAAACAG